Long non-coding RNA from Solanum pennellii, 1138 nucleotides. RefSeq lists it as uncharacterized. The transcript has 2 exons. Lineage: Eukaryota; Viridiplantae; Streptophyta; Magnoliopsida; Solanales; Solanaceae. The record is from RefSeq and is a predicted model, not a curated record.
CCAAGAAUACCCAAACGCCAAAUAGAGACCCAACUGCCCCGACCAAUCCAACUCCAAUGUAAGAAAACCCAAAUUCAGCCCGUACGACCCCCUCCAGCGAGAACGUGAUUUCUCAGAAAAAGCAGCGAUAGGCACAAAUCGUUCUCCCUCCCCUUGUCGUUUUCUUCGAGCUCUCUUCCCACAAUACUAUUGUAACAGGAGCAAAUCGUCCUUUGGCUCGAGAUCGAUCCACGUAUUCCCCCUAAGGAAACCAAAUCGAUCGAAGACGUUCGACCCUCUUUCCUCUUCAGGGAUAGAGCUGGAACCUCAGGAAAAGGUGUUGGUCUUUUUCGGUGAAAGAAUUCAAAUUUGUUGAAGAUGAGUUUUGACCCGAAUUCGAUCCGUUUGUUUUAAAUAAGAACGAAAACCCUAGUCAUUUUUAUAUAUAUAAUUGCCUUGGUUCAUUUGAAAGGGGGGGGGGAUUUUUGUAAAAAGAAAUACAGAGGAGAAAAUUAUUUUUAGGGAAAAGAAAAAAAAAGAGCAAUUCUUUUGAGUUGCUCUUGGUUUGGAAAUUCUUGACAGAGCUUCUAACAAGUUUUUAAGAAUACGCUCAAGUAUAACUCCGAACAGAAAAUUCUUGGGUUUGCUGUCGAUUUCUUUCAUUACUGUUCGUGUGAGAAGUUUUUUUUUCGUGGUAAAGUUGGUCAUCUUAUAUUCAUCGUCCCAGAGUCGCUGUUCGGAAAAGCCGUCUGGGAAAACUUAGGAAGUGUGUGGAUAGGUUAAAAUCAGCAACAUUGCUGGAAAUUGAUUUUUCAGCCCCCGAAAAGCCGAAAAACAGGUUGAUAUACAGAUCGUAUACACUGGUAUACAUUAUGAAUAUGCCAUUCAUAGUUGGAAAACGUGUCCAGGCAAUGGAGAACGCAAAAAUACAAAGUUUUGAUUGAAAUCGCAGGUUUGGGAGCGCAAAAACCGUCAAUAUACACAGCAUAUACAUCAAAUAUACACUCAAGGUGUAUCAUGAUUUUGAAGGAAAUAGGCUCAAAGGCCCUGAAAAUUGCAGCGGCAGAAUUUGGGACUAAGGCCCAAAUUUGAUAUCUCCUCUCUUUCUUAUUUAUUUAUUAGGGCAACUUUCACAUAUAGCAAACAAAAAAUUCAUAUU